CACACCGCCCGUCACACCAUGGGAGUGGAUUGCACCAGAAGUGGGUGUGCUAACCGUUCGGGAGGCAGCCCCCUAAGGUGUGGUUCAUGACUGGGGUG
This 98-nucleotide ribosomal RNA is filed under the name uncultured bacterium. RNAcentral's name for it is "partial 16S ribosomal RNA". It matches the Rfam family "Bacterial small subunit ribosomal RNA", at positions 1386 to 1482 of the family's 1533-position model. The record is from RNAcentral.